CUACGGGUCGCAGCAGUGAGGAAUAUUGCGCAAUGGGGGAAACCCUGACGCAGGGACGCCGCGUGGAUGAUGAAGGCCUUCGGGUCGUAAAAUCCUGUCAGAAGGAAAGAAGUGUAUGGUAGCUAAUAUCUGCCAUACUUGACGGUACCUUCAAAGGAAGCACCGGCUAACUCCGUGCCAGCAGCCGCGGUAAUACGGAGGGUGCAAGCGUUGUUCGGAAUUACUGGGCGUAAAGCGCGCGUAGGCGGUUUUAUAAGUCAGAUGUGAAAGUCCACGGCUCAACCAUGGAAGUGCACUUGAAACUGUAAGACUUGAGUAUUGGAGGGGGUAGUGGAAUUCCCGGUGUAGAGGUGAAAUUCGUAGAUAUCGGGAGGAAUACCGGUGGCGGAGGCGACUAUCUGGCCAAAUACUGACGCUGAGGUGCGAAAGCGUGGGGAGCAAACAGGAUUAGAUACCCGCGUAGUC
Molecule: ribosomal RNA, 465 nt
Filed under: uncultured bacterium
Lineage: Bacteria
Description: partial 16S ribosomal RNA
Rfam family: Bacterial small subunit ribosomal RNA
Source: RNAcentral